UACGUAGGUGGCAAGCGUUGUCCGGAUUUACUGGGCGUAAAGCGCGCGCAGGUGGCGCGUCAAGUCUGGUGUGAAAGCCUCCGGCUCAACCGGAGGAGGCCACUGGAGACUGGCGUGCUCGAGGUGGGUAGGGGUCGGUGGAAUUCCCGGUGUAGUGGUGAAAUGCGUAGAUAUCGGGAGGAACACCAGUGGCGAAAGCGGCCGACUGGGCCCAACCUGACGCUGAGGCGCGAAAGCGUGGGGAGCGAACCGG
Molecule: ribosomal RNA, 253 nt
Filed under: uncultured bacterium
Lineage: Bacteria
Description: partial 16S ribosomal RNA
Rfam family: Bacterial small subunit ribosomal RNA
Source: RNAcentral